Molecule: long non-coding RNA, 273 nt
Filed under: Salvia miltiorrhiza (redroot sage)
Lineage: Eukaryota; Viridiplantae; Streptophyta; Magnoliopsida; Lamiales; Lamiaceae
Description: long non-coding RNA (SMIL_LNC010089)
Source: RNAcentral
AUUUUUGCUCCUAUUUUAAAAAAUCUGCCUCUAAAUACAUAAUCUUUUAUUUUUGUCUUAUUUUUGUCCGGUGGCUGGUUUUUUCUUACGACAGCGCCGAAAAUGACACGGUGGCAGCCGGAAUUGAUGUGAUGGCAGUCGGAAAUUGACACCUAGACAUAUUAUUGACAUGUGAAAAAAAACAAAAAACAAAACAAAAAACAAAAAAAACCCACAUCAUCAUCUUCCCCAAUCUCCCCCACUCCCAAACCUUAAUCUCUCCUUCCCCACCCG